Non-coding RNA from Tritrichomonas musculus, 81 nucleotides. Lineage: Eukaryota; Parabasalia; Tritrichomonadida; Tritrichomonadidae. The record is from the annotation of a GenBank genome assembly.
GACAGUUUGGCCGAGUGGUUAAGGCGAGAGGUUGCUACCUUCUUGUGCUAGCACGCAUGGGUUCGAAUCCUAUAGCUGUCA